ACUGCACGAAGUCGGAAUUGCUAGUAAUCGCGGAUCAGCAUGCCGCGGUGAAUACGUUCCCGGGCCUUGUACACACCGCCCGUCACACCAUGAGAGUCGGGAACACCCGAAGUCCGUAGUCUAACCGCAAGGAGGACGCGGCCGAAGGUGGGCUUGAUAAUUGGGGUGAAGUCGUAACAAGGUAUC
RNAcentral lists this ribosomal RNA (186 nucleotides) under uncultured bacterium. RNAcentral's name for it is "partial 16S ribosomal RNA". It matches the Rfam family "Bacterial small subunit ribosomal RNA", at positions 1315 to 1500 of the family's 1533-position model. The record is from RNAcentral.